GCUUGGGAGAGAUUAGGAUUUCAUAGGGAGAAGGAAAAGAGAUCACAAUCACACAGAAGAGCAGCUUGAACUACUUUAUCCCUCACUAAGACAGGGCCAGGCUGCCUGCAUUCAGUAGUCUGCAGAGAGCAGGGAGGAAACAGCUGGAAACUGGGACAUAGAGAGCUGUCCUGCAAGUAGAAGUCUCAGAAGUAAUAACACAUGCUAUUGGUCCUCAGCAUUGUAAUCCAUCCAUGAAGGCCAGUUAUUUUAUCAGACUCUAAGAACAAGUAAAGAACAAGCCAUGGGGCAGGUGCCCACAUACACUGUGCUGACAGAUUUACAGCUGAGAAUUUUGGAGGAAUUCAGUGACAGGAGGAAAAAUAAGAAGGCAUUAACGACUGCAGCAAGCUGUAGGGUGACCUGUGCUACCAUCUGCAUGCUGAGUAGCCAGGCUUUCAUCUGCCCAUCAAGCAGUCGAGUGGAGACAGAGCCGUGGGCAAGCUGUGGGCCCAGUGGGCCGCCACCAACCCCCACCUGGACCCAGCAUCAGCUUGCAACAGAAAGGGCCCUCUUCAGAACCUGCUCCAUGGCCCAGGACAAGGCCUGCAGACCUCACCCCUGGCAGCUCACAGUGGUGAUGAGAGAAGAAAAGGUCAUGAAUGACCAUUAAGAGGGGCUGUCUGGAAAUUAAAAUUCAUGUCCAAAGAAGAAUCACCAUAUUUUGGGCUAUUUGCCAGUUCUGUUUGAAUGAAAAAUGUUUCUGGUAAAAACUGUUUUUCCCAAUCCAUGAAAAUCCCUUCUACAAGGUAGAAAAAUUAAAAAUACACAAAAGACCAGAGUCUGUAUACUUUAUAUGCUGAGGCCCAGGAGGAAACAAAAAGCCCAACCUGAACCAAGAAGCCUCAGUGUCUUGCAGAUGUCAAAUAAACACAUGCACCACUGUCUGAAGUACUUGAUUCCAUUAAACCUCGGUGUAAGUAAAAAAAAAAAAAAAUCUUUGAUUUUAGAGAAAACCAUUUGAAAUAAUUAUACCUCUUCUCUUUCAACUUACUUUUCAAAGAAAGUUGGCAUGCAUAUGUAUUUAAUAACAGAUUAAAUACGAAGCUUCUCUACCAACUUUGUAAAUACCUAGUACUAUCUACUGUCGAACCUCUUCAUCCUUUACGUUCUCACACCUGACACCUUAUCUUCUAAUAUUAAUCCUAUGUCAGUACAACACAACAAUUCAGCUCUCAAGUUAACUCAACAAAUCAGAUCUACCAUCUCAAGAUAAAGUUUUACUUGCAAGAGCGACAGUGGAUUUAUUUCUAGAUUUUUGAACAUUUAAAUGUUGCUUAGGCCCUUUAGGAUAUUAUCUGCAAUUUAAUAGAAGACAAUGUGACUGAAAUGUCAUUUAGGCUGGACUGCUAUGGAAGUGAAGGAAUGUCAUCAAAACACAAUAGUAUUUACAGUAGGCUAAUUGUUAUAGCACCCAAAUAAACGACAACUUCCUGAAAUUCAUGUAGGGGAUCUAUUUCUCUAAA
Molecule: long non-coding RNA, 1505 nt
Organism: Meleagris gallopavo (turkey)
Lineage: Eukaryota; Metazoa; Chordata; Aves; Galliformes; Phasianidae
Source: RefSeq, a predicted model, not a curated record